AUUGAACGCUGGCGGCAGGCCUAACACAUGCAAGUCGAACGGAAGAAGGUAGCUUGCGCCUGGAUUCAGCGGCGGACGGGUGAGUAAUGCCUAGGAAUCUGCCUGGUAGGUGGGCAUCACGUCCGGAAACGGGCGCUAAUACUGCAUACGACCUGAGGGUGCAAGAGAGGCAUCUUCGGACCACACGCUAUCAGUUGAGCCUAGGUCGGAUUAGCUAGUUGGUAGGGUAAAGGCCUACCAAGGCGACGAUCCGUAACUGGUCUGAGAGGUUGAUCAGUCACACUGGAACUGAGACACGGUCCAGACUCCUACGGGAGGCAGCAGUGGGGAAUCUUGGACAAUGGGCGAAAGCCUGAUGCAGCAAUGCCGCGUGUGUGAAGAAGGUCUUCGGAUUGUAAAACCCUGUAAGUUGGGAAGAAGGGCAGUGAGUUAAUCCGUUGACGUUUUGACGGUACCAACAGAGAAAGCACCGGCUAACUACGUG
RNAcentral lists this ribosomal RNA (484 nucleotides) under uncultured bacterium. RNAcentral describes it as "partial 16S ribosomal RNA". It matches the Rfam family "Bacterial small subunit ribosomal RNA", at positions 30 to 507 of the family's 1533-position model. The record is from RNAcentral.